Arachis ipaensis is the source of this 522-nucleotide non-coding RNA. The record is from RefSeq and is a predicted model, not a curated record. Lineage: Eukaryota; Viridiplantae; Streptophyta; Magnoliopsida; Fabales; Fabaceae.
CACGAUUAUAGAAACACUAAAAAACCAAGGUUAUGAAAACCGGACCGAUCAUCAAACCGCUCUAGUCACUGGUUUACUGGUCCAACUGGUCUAACCGUGGUUCAACCGGAAAAACCGUUCCAUAAUAAAAUAAUAAAUAAAUUAUAAAUAAACAUCCUAAAUAUCUUUGAAAUUUAAAACCCUACAUAAAAUAUCACCAACUAAAUGUAAUUAAUCAUCAAAAUAUGCAAUGACUUGCUGCAAAUUUGUUGACAAUUAACAUAAUUAUACUUCCAUUAAAAAUAACUGGAUUGAAUUACAAUGCACAAGUUAAAGAUAGAGAAUAUUGUCUUAAUGUAGCUAAGUCAAAAAGUAAAACAAAAAAUGAUAGUGUUGCACAAUAAACGCACAAUAAACACACAACAGAGCCUGAAACAAACACACAACAAAGCCUGAAACAAAAAAAAUCAAACACGGAGGAGGGGUAGCAAGUCGGCGGAGAUCAAGAACAGGGACAGUGCAACCAAACAAUGAACAAAACAA